This 543-nucleotide ribosomal RNA is filed under the name Salmonella enterica. RNAcentral describes it as "partial 23S ribosomal RNA". It matches the Rfam family "Bacterial large subunit ribosomal RNA", at positions 711 to 1252 of the family's 2925-position model. The record is from RNAcentral. Lineage: Bacteria; Pseudomonadati; Pseudomonadota; Gammaproteobacteria; Enterobacterales; Enterobacteriaceae. RNAcentral also lists the same sequence under 4 other names.
AGACCCGAAACCCGGUGAUCUAGCCAUGGGCAGGUUGAAGGUUGGGUAACACUAACUGGAGGACCGAACCGACUAAUGUUGAAAAAUUAGCGGAUGACCUGUGGCUGGGGGUGAAAGGCCAAUCAAACCGGGAGAUAGCUGGUUCUCCCCGAAAGCUAUUUAGGUAGCGCCUCGUGAAUUCAUCUCCGGGGGUAGAGCACUGUUUCGGCUAGGGGGCCAUCCCGGCUUACCAACCCGAUGCAAACUGCGAAUACCGGAGAAUGUUAUCACGGGAGACACACGGCGGGUGCUAACGUCCGUCGUGAAGAGGGAAACAACCCAGACCGCCAGCUAAGGUCCCAAAGUCAUGGUUAAGUGGGAAACGAUGUGGGAAGGCCCAGACAGCCAGGAUGUUGGCUUAGAAGCAGCCAUCAUUUAAAGAAAGCGUAAUAGCUCACUGGUCGAGUCGGCCUGCGCGGAAGAUGUAACGGGGCUAAACCAUGCACCGAAGCUGCGGCAGCGACACUGUGUGUUGUUGGGUAGGGGAGCGUUCUGUAAGCCUGU